RNAcentral lists this non-coding RNA (21 nucleotides) under Caenorhabditis elegans. The record is from RNAcentral. Lineage: Eukaryota; Metazoa; Nematoda; Chromadorea; Rhabditida; Rhabditidae.
CGUCUUUGAACGCGAUGUCCC